GAAACCGUUCAGGGGUAAACCUGAGAAACCCAAAAGAUCGAAUGGGGAGAUUCAUCGUCGACGGCCCGUCCGGCCACCGUUGACGCGCGAUGCGCCGACGGGGACGCGCGUUUACGCGCGCGUUCCUCGUAGCGAGCGCACGCCGCCUUCGGUGUUCCGGCGUCGUAGUCGUGCACUUCUCCCCUAGUAGAACGUCGCGACCCGUUGCGUGUCGGUCUACGGCCCGAGCGGUAGCCUGUCCCGUCUCGCCUCGCGCGUACGGCGACAGACCCUCGGUCGCCCGGCCGGCUGCGCGACGGUACUCACACGGUAUCGGGCCGCAGCAGUUUCGAGAUUCGUUUCGAACGUGUGCGUCAGGCCCGUCGCAAGCUAGGUCAGUUCUUACCCGGAGGUCACGGACCCAGUGCCGUCCCCGGGCCUAGCCAGCUGUUGGCCGACGGUGUCCUCUGACUGUGUCCGCAACGCGGCGUGCGCGCAAGCGCGCGUCGCGUGAUACCGGUCUGCGACGCUAUUGCUUUGGGUACUCUCAGGACCCGUCUUGAAACACGGACCAAGGAGUCUAACAUGUGCGCGAGUCAUUGGGAUCGAUUGUGAAACCUAAAGGCGGAAUGAAAGUGAAGGUCGUACCUUCGCGUCGACCGAGGGAGGAUGGGCCGCGUGCCGUUUCGCGCGUUGUGCGGCCCCGCACUCCCGGGGCGUCUCGUUCUCACAGCGAGAAGAGGCGCACCCAGAGCGUACACGUUGGGACCCGAAAGAUGGUGAACUAUGCCUGGUCAGGACGAAGUCAGGGGAAACCCUGAUGGAGGUCCGUAGCGAUUCUGACGUGCAAAUCGAUCGUCGGAACUGGGUAUAGGGGCGAAAGACUAAUCGAACCAUCUAGUAGCUGGUUCCCUCCGAAGUUUCCCUCAGGAUAGCUGGCACUCGCUCGUUCCAUGUUUGAACGCGUGCGAGUCUCAUCUGGUAAAGCGAAUGAUUAGAGGCCUUGGGGCCGAAACGACCUCAACCUAUUCUCAAACUUUAAAUGGGUGAGAUCUCUGGCUUGCUUGAACUAUGAAGCCACGAGAUAUAUUUGGAUCAGAGUGCCAAGUGGGCCAUUUUUGGUAAGCAGAACUGGCGCUGUGGGAUGAACCAAACGUGGAGUUAAGGCGCCCAAGUCGACGCUUAUGGGAUACCAUGAAAGGCGUUGGUUGCUUAAGACAGCAGACCGGUGG
Molecule: ribosomal RNA, 1211 nt
Filed under: Melitta capensis
Lineage: Eukaryota; Metazoa; Arthropoda; Insecta; Hymenoptera; Melittidae
Description: eukaryotic LSU rRNA
Rfam family: Eukaryotic large subunit ribosomal RNA
Source: RNAcentral